This 333-nucleotide long non-coding RNA is filed under the name Marmota monax (woodchuck). The record is from RNAcentral. Lineage: Eukaryota; Metazoa; Chordata; Mammalia; Rodentia; Sciuridae.
UUUGAGAUGCAAUGUUAAGUCAUUUAUUCAUUGACUUUUUCUUCUUUUAAGGAAUGAACUCUAUGCAGUGAACUUUCCUCUUAUGUUGAGAGCCGUAGGGGUUCCAAACGCUGCACAGAAGGCAGGGCGCCAUCGGAGGGCGAAAGCAGGAGGGUUAGAAGGGCGUCCCCCUCGCCAUGCUCCUGGGCCACCCUGAACUUUCCCCAGACAACGCGGACUGACUUUGAUCUGGACCACCAGGCACAGGGCGCAGCUGACCAGCCAGCCGCCGCCUCCUGCAGAGCCCGCAGCAGAAGGGGUCCAUACUGGCAUGCGCACCCUGUCCCAUGGCGC